RNAcentral lists this ribosomal RNA (413 nucleotides) under uncultured bacterium. RNAcentral's name for it is "bacterial SSU rRNA". It matches the Rfam family "Bacterial small subunit ribosomal RNA", at positions 355 to 775 of the family's 1533-position model. The record is from RNAcentral.
UGGGGAAUUUUUGGCAAUGGGGGAAACCCUGACCAAGCAACGCCGCGUGGAUGAUGAAGUCUCUUGGGACGUAAAAUCCUUUCGACGGGGAAGAAAGCCGCAAGGCCUGACGGUACCCGUAGAAGAAGCCCCGGCUAACUCCGUGCCAGCAGCCGCGGUAAUACGGGGGGGGCAAGCGUUGUUCGGAAUUACUGGGCGUAAAGGGCGCGUAGGCGGUUUGCUAAGUUGGAUGUGAAAACUUUGGGCUUAACCCAGAGCCUGCAUCCAAAACUAGCAGACUAGAGUUCUGGAGGGGGUAGCGGAAUUCCUGGUGUAGCGGUGAAAUGCGUAGAUAUCAGGAGGAACACCGGUGGCGAAGGCGGCUACCUGGACAGAAACUGACGCUGAGGCGCGAAAGCUAGGGGAGCAAACAG